Molecule: long non-coding RNA, 979 nt
Organism: Sus scrofa (pig)
Lineage: Eukaryota; Metazoa; Chordata; Mammalia; Artiodactyla; Suidae
Source: RefSeq, a predicted model, not a curated record
GACUAGCCGAAGGACCUGUGGGCACCGCAGGGUGGGGAGGGAGGUGUAGGUUUAGGUUGACGUGGCUGUCUGUGCAGAAUCCGGCUCCGGCUCCGGUUCCGGCUCCAACCCGAGCUGCGGGAAGCGCCGUACCGACGAAGCCCGCGCCCCCACGUCAACGCAGCCGGCGCAUGCCGCAGGCUGGAUGUGAGACGACAAGGCCCGCCCCUUCCUGCUCCAGUUGCUGUGGUGACGGGAACCCCUGCCCCGCGGAGGGCGGGUUUAGGCGUGUAGUUUCCCUCUGACCCUGUUCUUAAAGGGAAAGGUCGGGCAAGUUAAUUUAAGAAGUGAUCUGAAAAAGAAGAGCACAUCAAGGAGAUGAUCAGAGAUUCUCAAAAAGAACAUCAAAGAAGUUAAUACAAAUGAUUCAGGUCGAAGAAACAGCUCUUCAGUUUUUCUGUAACUUUCAGUGCCUUGAACUUGUGAAGAAUACAGGUCAGUUAUUUUUCAGCUGUCUCUCUUUUUGGUUUGUCUGAUGUUUCCCCAUGACUACAUUUAAGUUAUGCAUCUCUAUCAGGAAUAUAAUAGAAGUGACAGUAUUUUUUUAAUUGCAUGUUAUCAUGUGGUCCCAAAUACUGAUUUAACCCAUUACUGGUAGUGUUAAAUUUGAUCGUUUGAUUAAAGAAAUGUCUGUGGGGCCUUUCCACUGUAAAGUCACAUUUUUCCUUUUUGAAAUUAAGAAGAGUUUUGUGAGGAGAUACUUUAAAACUUCAUCAAACUUUCAAUUUACUCACUGACUUAUGGAUUCAUAGAUUCCUAUUUUAUUUAAAGGGUUAAAAUCCAUUAUUCCAUUACUAUUAUUUAUUUAGAUGCCUAAAAUUUUCUAGAUUUGACCAUUUGGAACUCUUUCAAACUGACUUUCACAUUUCUUUGACAAUCUCCAUCAUUGUUUGUUUGUUUGUUUGUUUGUUUUUAUCAUACCUGUGGCAUGCAGAAGUUC